CCCUUAGAUGUCCUGGGCCGCACGCGCGUUACACUGACAUGUUCAACAAGCCUCCUAGUUCGACAGGAUUUGGGAAAUCUUUGAACGCAUGUCGUGAUAGGGAUAGAUCAUUGCAAUUAUUGAUCUUGAACGAGGAAUUCCUAGUAAACGCGAGUCAUCAGCUCGCAUUGAUUACGUCCCUGCCCUUUGUACACACCGCCCGUCGCACCUACCGAUUGAAUGUUUCGGUGAAGAUUCCGGAUAGGACUUUUUUGAUUUAUUUCAAUUUUGUCUUAAAAGCUAUCUAAACCUCAACAUUUAGAGGAAGGUGAAGUCGUAACA
Molecule: ribosomal RNA, 321 nt
Filed under: uncultured eukaryote
Lineage: Eukaryota
Description: partial 18S ribosomal RNA
Rfam family: Eukaryotic small subunit ribosomal RNA
Source: RNAcentral